RNAcentral lists this long non-coding RNA (497 nucleotides) under Pan troglodytes (chimpanzee). RNAcentral describes it as "long non-coding RNA NONPTRT006055". The record is from RNAcentral. Lineage: Eukaryota; Metazoa; Chordata; Mammalia; Primates; Hominidae.
AGCCAGGUCAGGCCUCUUGCCACAUACUCCAUUGACUCUAGUGCCUAACCCAUGCUCAUCACAGAGCUCACACUGGAACCAUUGUUAAACAGACUCUAAUGGAAAUGACUUCGUUCAGCUGGUGAACAUUUUGGAAGAUUCCAGAAAAACAUGAACAAGUGUUUGAGUGCUCUUAAGGGGAUUGUCUAAUAUCUUGGCUCCUGACUCAUCCUUAGAAGUCUUCCAGCCACCUUGUACCCAUUUCAAGCCCAAGGGCUCUUUAACGUAAAUGAGUUACUGAGCAGGUUAAUGGGACCUGGACUGGAAAAGGAUUGUUUGUGUGAGAAUCAUUCAUGACAAAGGCAGUGACACCUCCUUCAAAAACCUGUGUCUUUCUGGCAGAGUGUUGCUGGAGACGGCCACUGGAGAGGCUGAGUCAAAUCAAUCUCCUCACCUGAGGACUUCCUAAGACCAGCACACUGAAGGACCAGCAGCAACAACAAUAAUGCUAAUGCUCC